RNAcentral lists this ribosomal RNA (460 nucleotides) under uncultured bacterium. RNAcentral describes it as "partial 16S ribosomal RNA". It matches the Rfam family "Bacterial small subunit ribosomal RNA", at positions 338 to 795 of the family's 1533-position model. The record is from RNAcentral.
CCUACGGGAGGCUGCAGUGAGGAAUAUUGGUCAAUGGGCGAGAGUCUGAACCAGCCAAGUAGCGUGAAGGAUGACUGCCCUAUGGGUUGUAAACUUCUUUUGUAUGGGAAUAAAACAGGGUAUGCAUACCCUCUUGUAUGUACCAUAUGAAUAAGGAUCGGCUAACUCCGUGCCAGCAGCCGCGGUAAUACGGAGGAUCCGAGCGUUAUCCGGAUUUAUUGGGGUUAAAGGGAGCGUAGGUGGAUUGUUAAGUCAGUUGUGAAAGUUUGCGGCUCAACCGCAAAAUUGCAGUUGAAACUGGCAGUCUUGAGUACAGUAGAGGUGGGCGGAAUUCGUGGUGUAGCGGUGAAAUGCUUAGAUAUCACGAAGAACGCCGAUGGCGAAGGCAGCUUACUGGACUGCAACUGACACUGAGGCUCGAAAGUGAGGGUAGCAAACAGGAUUAGAUACCCGGGUAGUC